UUUUGCUGUUGUUGUUGUUUGUUUUUGUGAUUGCUCUUAUGUCGGUAGGUAAUGUCAGGAAAAGUGACUGUUUCAGAUCCCCAGUACAAACAUCAGAACUAGGAUCAAAUGACUUGACUUUUAAGCUGUUCCAUUUUCUAAGAAGUUACAAUUACAAAAAGUAAGCAUUUUCUACAUUCUUACUUCUAAGUAAUGACCUUCUCAUUAAUCUUUCCUUGGCUUAAAAUGACAAAUAAGAAUCCAAAGUUUUUCCACUCCUCCUGUGGGAGAUAGGAAUAGUUGUGAAGAGUCUGAUGGAAUAAAAUGACUCCAGAGAUUUACACAGCCACCAUUUGAUCCCAGCCUUUGUCCUUGUGUUAUUUAAACAAUGGCUUCCUGCUUUCUCAGGGGUCAGGAAAAUGAUUUAAAAAUUUGUCUUCUUGACAAGGCCUGAAAACGAAGGGAGGUGUCGUGGAGAAAUGGUGAUUUUUCUGGUUACAUCACUUGAUUCAAGCACUCCCUGGAGCUUUCAAAGCCUUUUUUAUCUGCUCAGAGUUGACACCCAACUCAGAGUCAGAACUCACCAGAAGAUGAGGAACACCCCCGAAAUCAAUGUUUCCUUUCUCCAUGGGAUUUUUUUCAAUCUUGGUACAGCUGCAUAUCUCCCAAACUCGGAUGCUCUUGUGAAAUGACAGCCACAUCAGUGUGGUUACUCCCCACAAAUAACACUAGGGGGAAAUGACCUUUUUUAUUUAAAAAAAAAAAAAAGGCUAAUGCUAUAGAAUGAUCAUGUAAAGAAUGUUGAAUAAAAUUUGGCCCAUGUUUUAAUUGACUCUAGGCACCUCUAUUGAAAUAAGUCUGAGGCAUAGUUUGUGAAACAUGUUUCAAAAGUGUUUGAUGUAUAAUAAAUGCUAGAAAUUUACAGUACAGAAAUAGUAAAAAAAUAAAAUAAAAAUAAACCUGUAGAUUACAGCUCUGUUCCUAAGAACCUCAGCCUUUAUUGUGUCUUAGUAAAGUUGAUCUGCUUUAUUUUUAGUUUAUUGAAUUUCUGGUGUACUAGCCUCUUAAGAUAGAACUUUUAAUACAUAUGUACUGGUUAAUGCCUGUUUACGCAGAAAAUGGCACUUUGUUCUUUCAGUGUGUUUCCCUCAGUGUCACAGGGUAUAUCAAUUUGAUAGAUCAUUUGACAUUUGUCAAAAAUACGUUUCCCAUUUUAAAAAUAUGUAUAAUUGGUUGCAUAGACAUAUGUCACUUUUUGCAGUGUCUUCAUCUUGAUCAUAGUUUUAGACAUCAACUAUGUCUCACUUUCCAACUGCCAUAGAAAUUUGGUACAUUUGCAAAUUCUGGUGGAAUCUAGUGAGCUGAAUGUAUUGGUAGAUCAAAUGAUCCAAAGGACUUGGGUGUUAUCCUUCAGUCUGUGUUGAACCAUUCAGAUAUUGGGAAUGGUCCUUACACAAGGGAAGUCUUUUGAGAAUAUUUGUUCUCUUAUUUUUUGUUUGUUUGUUGCUGGCAAAAAAAAAAGUAACUUUAAAAACUCAGAAAAGCCACUGAACUGUAUUUUGUGACCUUAUGAUUAGUUUUAUCUUUCAACUGAUUUUUAUUGUUACUUUUACUCAAUAUCAACAGUACUUCAAUAGAUAUUUAUUAGUUAUGUUCAAUCUAAUGACUUAAAACAGUUGAAAAGGAGGAAAAUCAACUCCAGUCCACACAUACAGUCAUGUUACAUUAAGAUGUCAUGUUGUAUGUCACACAGUUUCUAGAUUGAUUUCUCUUGUGUAUAAGUUAUAACAUCAAAAAUGCCAAAGGGUAUAUAAAAUAAGCUACAAUAAUAUUCAACAGAACUUAACCUGGACCUUAUGUUGUAAUAAUUUAUUCAUAUUAGCUGUAGUCUUCUGUAUUUAUAUUUUCAGUAUUUAUUAUGAAUGACAUGGAAAUUCGUGUAUUUAUUGUGGCUUUUUAUUGCAGUGUGUAUAUAUAUAUAACAAAUAAGCAUUUUUAAGUCUUAUCCUUAAGUUUCUUUUAUUAGUGGCACUUGUAUUAUGCUGUACUUUUUAUUACAUAUUGUACAAUAUCUUGUCCAUUUGUUUGCAGCAGAGUAAAACCGGUUUCUAAGUUGU
RNAcentral lists this long non-coding RNA (2096 nucleotides) under Homo sapiens (human). RNAcentral's name for it is "non-protein coding lnc-SCN2A-7:1". Lineage: Eukaryota; Metazoa; Chordata; Mammalia; Primates; Hominidae. The record is from RNAcentral.